GGAUUCCCCUAGUAACUGCGAGUGAACCGGGAACAGCUCAAAUUUCCAAUCUGGCGGUCUUCGGCCGUCCGAGUUGUAAUCUAGAGAAGCGUCUUCCGCGCCGGACCGUGUACAAGUCUCCUGGAAGGGAGCAUCGUGGAGGGUGACAAUCCCGUCUGUGACACGGAACCCCCGGGGCUACGUGAUGCGCUCUCGACGAGUCGAGUUGUUUGGGAAUGCAGCUCAAAUCGGGUGGUAAACUCCAUCUAAAGCUAAAUACGUGCGAGAGACCGAUAGCGAACAAGUACCGUGAGGGAAAGAUGAAAAGGACUUUGGAAAGAGAGUUAAACAGUACGUGAAAUUGCUGGAAGGGAAACGCUCAAAGUCAGUCGCGUCGUCCGGGGAUCAGCCCUGCAUGCAUGUCCAUGCUCGGCGUAAUUCCCGCGUCGACGGGUCAGCAUCGAUUUCGCCCGUCAGACAAGGCCGUGGAGGAACGUGGCACUCUUCGGAGUGUGUUAUAGCCUCCCAGCGGCGGACGUGACGGGCCUCGGGAUCGAGGAAAACUUGGCGUUCGUCGCCUCGGAUGCUGGCGUAAUGUCUUUGAGCGACCCGUCUUGAAACACGGACCAAGGAGUCUAACGUGCCUGCGAGUGUUUGGGUGACCAAACCCGAGCGCGCAGUG
RNAcentral lists this ribosomal RNA (661 nucleotides) under Calostoma areolatum. RNAcentral describes it as "partial large subunit ribosomal RNA". It matches the Rfam family "Eukaryotic large subunit ribosomal RNA", at positions 72 to 721 of the family's 3401-position model. The record is from RNAcentral. Lineage: Eukaryota; Fungi; Basidiomycota; Agaricomycetes; Boletales; Calostomataceae.